This is a long non-coding RNA of Zootoca vivipara (common lizard), 602 nucleotides long. RefSeq lists it as uncharacterized. The record is from RefSeq and is a predicted model, not a curated record. NCBI's taxonomy places the organism in Eukaryota, Metazoa, Chordata, Lepidosauria, Squamata, Lacertidae.
GGGGCGGGCUGCUCGGCUCUCUCCGCCCCUUGGUCCCCCCUCCUCUCGUCCGCGCUCCUCUCUCGGAGGAAGGACAGUCCAAGCUGUAAGGUGAAGCUCACAACAGCCUGCACUGCUCACCGAAAAGCCGCUGUUUCUCAGAAGGUUGCCUUGCCAUGAGUGCUGUAUCCCAGAGCAUGCUGCAGUUGGGCCAGUGUUCUCCCUUGUGCCCCAAAGAAAGAGACACGCUCACUGGGGAAAUGGCGAGGUUCAUUCCGUGGUGGAGCUCUUAUUUUCUUCUCAAGCUGUUGGACCACAGCAGAAAGUUUCUGAACAUGGACAUGGAAAUAAGCAUUACCUUCAUGCUUCCUUUUGUUCUCCAUCAGAGGGGCAGCUCUGCAGGGAAACAAAGGGCCACAUGCGAUAAGAUUAUUUAUCUAAACCUCAAAAUAGGCCUCAGACAGAGACCAUAUGGUCUGAGGUAUGAAAAAAGUUGCUGACCCCUCCUCUAGAUCUUCAACGAUGAGCUCUUCUGAAAGGAAAAGAAGAGAAGGCUAGCAGUUAGAGAGACUUUCUUAUAUACACUGAACAUAUACAUGGAAAUAGACAUUACCUUCAUCUUU